Molecule: long non-coding RNA, 1360 nt
Filed under: Lonchura striata (white-rumped munia)
Lineage: Eukaryota; Metazoa; Chordata; Aves; Passeriformes; Estrildidae
Description: domestica (Bengalese finch) lncRNA (ENSLSDG00000011491.1)
Source: RNAcentral
UUGUGCCACUCGUGCCCAGACUGGUGGGAGCCCCCAGCCCUGGGCAUUUCUCAGUGUGGAUAAUAUUGCUGCAGCACUCACAGACUGGCAGAGCUCUGUGAGAAAGCAGUCUCCAAACAGCUUAAAUGCUUUAUUCUAGGGCUGUUAGACAAGCCAUUGAUCCUUCCCAGCUCUGUGUCCUGGUGCCUUCCCACGCACUGCCAUGGAUUUUCAUAUAUUUCUUUCUCUGCUCUAGAUUUUUUCAGGUUUUUCUCCUACAUCAGGCAGUGUAAGCAGCUCUUUUUCAAAAUAACCAGCAAAUAUCCUGAUCUAUUGAAAUCCUUGUACAAACUCCUGCUGAUCUCCCUGGCCUUCCCUGUGUGGGUGAUAAGGGAUGUUUUCCUGGCACAGACCUCCCAAGUAACAGCACGUGAAAGCUGAGUAUUGCAGUUUCUCUUCAGAACUCCAUUGCCUCCCGUGAUUUCUAUUACAUGACACUGCUCACAAAGUUUCCAACUUGUUAUUUAUCGGGGCUGGAGCCUCUGGUGAUGACAAAAAUGGGAGGUUUUUCUACAAACUUCUUCAGGCAGCCACAGCAGGUUAGUCAUUGAGGGCUCUGUGCACAAGUUCAUCCUGAAGUCGAGCAGAGCUUCACUCCCAAUUUCCCCUCCUAUCCUUCACCCCUGUUCUGCUUUCCCUGUGGGAGACCUGUUGCAGUGAAUUUUUUUAUCCCCUCCCUGUAUCUAGCAGAGUUUGAUUUGGCAACUUUCCAGGAGAGAAAGGACUUGCAAUUGCUUUGUCCUUCGGUGAUUUAGGUUAUUGCAACUUCAUGGUUUGCUGUUGGGAAAGAGAUUAAGAGAAAAAUGUCCCAUCUGUGACUGAAAAUGGACUUUUAGUGAUAAAAAAUGUCCCUGGGUUAUCUCUGAGGCUGCUGCAAUCUCCAGCAUUCUUCUUUUUCCAUUUUUUCUCACCCUUAAUAUUUUUUUUCCCCUGCCAGGUCUUCUAUUUAUUUCCCAGGUUCUUUGCAUUUGAAGGAUAUUUCUUGUCCCUUUCUGCUUGGAUGUGUGCAGAUGGUACUGUAGGCCAGUUAAAUGCUGUGUGCUGGAAAUGGGUAGAAUCCAAAGAUUUUGAGGAGCUCUGGGGGCAACAAAACCAGAGACACUUGAUAUUUACAGGGUGUCCUGUUGGUGAGGGAGGUUGGGAUCACUUGGGCAGGUUCUGCUGACAGGUUACCAAAGGAAGGAGAAACAAAAAAAUGCCAACAAAUGGCAAGAAAAAAUGUGGUGGUGAGGUCAGAAAAGGGAGGAGAAAGCAAAGUAGCAGCGUGACAUCUGUACACAUGUGGCUGAGCAUUGGCAAAAUAAAAAGGCUGAUGUAGACA